CGCACGCGGAGAGGCGAGGAAAAAAGAGAGAACGCACGCGGCCGCGGGAGGAAAGAAAAGGCACGAUCUCGCCACACCCUCGCGCCGCGCAAGUUCGUCGUUCGCAUCAGAAUUUUGCAGCGGCGAACAACACCAUAUUCAUCCAUCUUGUUCGUCGUUCUUGCAUCAGAAUUUUGCAACGACGAACGCCACACUUUCACCCACCAAAUCUCGAGACGAUUGCUGCGACGGAGCGGCGCCUAUGGCAAUUACUAUGGGGCCAGGCGGAAAGCGCGUCUUUGAUGGGAAGCGAGAUUGAUAUAUUUUUUGGAGCAUCGUCCAACAUGCGUAUGUGAUAUUAUUUUACAUCGACACCUUGGCCAAGUGUCGACGAGACAAUGGCUACCUAUCAUUACCAUCAUGUCUAAGCUGACGAGGCUAGGCAAAACUAUGGCCAAGUGCCGACGAGGCCAGGUCACCAUUAUUAUCGACGUGUCCCAAACCUAUGGGAUCGGACACACUGUUGCUUGGCACCGACGAGGCGAUAGCGACACAUACACAUGUCCACGUUCGAUGAAUUCAGGGCGUUACAUGACUGGGCACCGACGAGGCGAAAGUCAUCCCCUUCAUCGACAUAUCCUGUUGGUCAUACCAACAUGGCGAUAGUAUAAGUGACUGGGUUUCGGCGAAACAAAGCCACCCGCACACAUAUUUUCCAUUAAUAUCACAAGGCAUAUGGAUGAGCAAUCCAAACAUGACGACGACCAUCAGCGCAGCUUAAUCGGAGGUAUUCUGCGGGGCUUGACCCUACGGAUGUAAUUAACCGGAUGCUUGCAAAGGCACCGGGAAUCAAUGAACUACGCAAUCUCCUAAGUCAGAUACUCCAUGAGCGCGACGCAGAAGGCAAAAAGGAUAUGAUCCUAUUGGAACAUGCAAUAUGUAUUUGUACAAUGCAAUGAUAUGAAUAAAGUGCAGUGUUCCUUA
This is a non-coding RNA of Lolium perenne, 963 nucleotides long. The record is from RefSeq and is a predicted model, not a curated record. Lineage: Eukaryota; Viridiplantae; Streptophyta; Magnoliopsida; Poales; Poaceae.